GCAGUCGAACGAACUCUUCGGAGUUAGUGGCGGACGGGUGAGUAACACGUGGGAACGAUGCCUUUAGGUUCGGAAUAACUCAGGGAAACUUGUGCUAAUACCGAAUGUGCCCUUCGGGGGAAAGAUUUAUCGCCUUUAGAGCGGCCCGCGUCUGAUUAGCUAGUUGGUGAGGUAAAGGCUCACCAAGGCGACGAUCAGUAGCUGGUCUGAGAGGAUGAUCAGCCACAUUGGGACUGAGACACGGCCCAAACUCCUACGGGAGGCAGCAGUGGGGAAUCUUGCGCAAUGGGCGAAAGCCUGACGCAGCCAUGCCGCGUGAAUGAUGAAGGUCUUAGGAUUGUAAAAUUCUUUCACCGGGGACGAUAAUGACGGUACCCGGAGAAGAAGCCCCGGCUAACUUCGUGCCAGCAGCCGCGGUAAUACGAAGGGGGCUAGCGUUGCUCGGAAUUACUGGGCGUAAAGGGAGCGUAGGCGGACAUUUAAGUCAGGGGUGAAAUCCCGGGGCUCAACCUCGGAAUUGCCUUUGAUACUGGGUGUCUUGAGUAUGAGAGAGGUGUGUGGAACUCCGAGUGUAGAGGUGAAAUUCGUAGAUAUUCGGAAGAACACCAGUGGCGAAGGCGACACACUGGCUCAUUACUGACGCUGAGGCUCGAAAGCGUGGGGAGCAAACAGGAUUAGAUACCCUGGUAGUCCACGCCGUAAACGAUGAUUGCUAGUUGUCGGGAUGCAUGCAUUUCGGUGACGCAGCUAACGCAUUAAGCAAUCCGCCUGGGGAGUACGGUCGCAAGAUUAAAACUCAAAGGAAUUGACGGGGGCCCGCACAAGCGGUGGAGCAUGUGGUUU
This 843-nucleotide ribosomal RNA is filed under the name uncultured bacterium. RNAcentral's name for it is "bacterial SSU rRNA". It matches the Rfam family "Bacterial small subunit ribosomal RNA", at positions 57 to 947 of the family's 1533-position model. The record is from RNAcentral.